Molecule: ribosomal RNA, 332 nt
Filed under: uncultured eukaryote
Lineage: Eukaryota
Description: partial 18S ribosomal RNA
Rfam family: Eukaryotic small subunit ribosomal RNA
Source: RNAcentral
CCCUUAGAUGUCCUGGGCUGCACGCGCGCUACACUGGAAGUUACGGAUUGAGAUACUACCUUGUCCGAAAUGGUCCGGGUAAUCACCUAAAAGCUUGUCAUAAUUGGAAUGGAUUAUUGUAACUAGUAAUCCUGAACGAGGAAUUCCUAGUAAGUCCCAGUCAACAGCUGGUACUGAUUACGUCCCUGCCCUUUGUACACACCGCCCGUCGCUACUACUGAUUGGACGUUUAAGCAAGAUUUUUAAACACUGACAGCGUGUAGUUCACGCUAUACUACAGUGAGAAGAAGAAGAUCGAGCUUACUUGUCUAGAGGAAGUAAAAGUCGUAACA